This 23913-nucleotide long non-coding RNA is filed under the name Lathyrus oleraceus (garden pea). RNAcentral describes it as "Pisum sativum (pea) long non-coding RNA (PSAT_LNC035429)". Lineage: Eukaryota; Viridiplantae; Streptophyta; Magnoliopsida; Fabales; Fabaceae. The record is from RNAcentral.
ACUUGAUCUGCCACCUCAAUUAAUGAGGGAGAUCAAGUGGUCCACGUUUUUUGCUAUUUUCUGAUUUUCAUUUUAAUCCUUUUAUUUUCAUUAAUUCAUAUUAAUUUUAAUAUUGAUCAUCUUGUUGUUGGGCAUUGGUCAAGGUUGAUUUGACUUUGUCAAGUUAAUAUCAUUGGAUUUAGGGGAUUGAUGGAAUGUACAUUCCAUCUCCCAAAAUGAAUGGAUGAUAUUAAUUUGGUAAAAGUCUUCCUUUGACGAAUUUGAGUUUUGAUCCAUUCCCCUCCCUCUUCAUCUCAUUCCUAUUCUUUAUGCAUUCAUCUCAUUUGGCCUAUGAUAUCUCGAAGUCCUAAGGCUAGUUGAUUGAAAACUCAACAUAAGUAUGGAUGAGAUUAGGCCACCUCUUUUGAAUAUUCUUUUUGUGUGUGGUAUGUUUCAUGAGCAUAAUCCAUUAUACUAUGUCUCUAACAUACAUUAACACCAAAAUUCUAUUGCCCGACCUCAAAUAGUUGUGACUUCUACAUAAGUCCAAUUACGAUUGCUUAACAUAGCGCUAAAUUUGUGACACAAAAGGCAAAGCAUUCUAGUUAGUGAGAUUGUAAGUCUCCCCUCUUUCAUGGUAUUGUAUGGAAACUUGGCCUUUUUUCCUUCCUUUGGAAGAUGUCUUGGUUCAAGGAUCCAUGCUUGUGAUAAGUGGGUUGACUGUUCUCCAAAGAAUGACUUUAAAUGAAAAGCAAAAGCAAAUCAAUACUAAUUUCUAACUCAUUAACAACUAACUUUUAAUUUCAAGCCAUUUACUUUAAUGUCAUUUUAUUUUAGUCUUUAUUCAUUUGCCAUUAUUCAAACCAUUCUAAUUGUUUAUGUUAAUGGAAUUUUCACUUUGUCCACUUGGACCAUAUUGUGUGAUAUAUCUUGUUUGUGUAUACUUUACUUGUUUGUGUGGUCUUUGACCAUUAAUGUACAUAAUAACAACAAAAACCCUAAAAAACUUUUGUGUGGACUGUUGGCUUGAUCUAGUAUACUUUACUUGUUUGUGUGGUCUUUGACCAUUAAUGUACAUAAUAACAACAAAAACCCUAAAAAACUUUUGUGUGGACUGUUGGCUUGAUCUUGGACAAAUGGACUUAGAAUUUAGGCAACAUUUCUAGGCUAAAGGACUUGGCCAAUGCCAACUUUCUAUGAAACCAAGUGAUUGCAAUCUGAAACUUCAUCUGAUACAUCAUUCAAGAUUCCUUUGAGUUCAUCUGCAACAUGAUCAUUGUGAAGCUGUUAUUUUAAACCUGUGACUUGUACAAUUCAUGGGCUAAUUUGAAGAAGAUCAUGGAGUGGCUAAGCUUGGAUGUGGCUAUCUUUAUUUGAUGCCUUGCUCUUCAAGAUUUAUGUAAUUGUGCAUUUGUGUGUUACUUGAUUCUAAAUGUCCAAGGGAAUUUGGGUUUAUAUUGACAUUCUUGUCUAUUGGAUUGCUACUCAUUGGUCAGAUCUUUUCAACUCUUUACUUUUAAUUUUGUGCAUAGGAUUAGUCUCUUCAUCUCCUCCCCAUUUCUUUAAUUUCAAAAUCUCUCCCUCAUUUUUAAAAUUUUCUUUGUUUGAACUAGUUUUGUUCUAAACUUUGACCACUUUGCAAAAAAAAAGAUAGAAACUUUGGCCUUAUGCCAUUGAAUUUUCAAACUUCCUUUUCUUAAUCAAACUUGUAAAUAGACUUAACUAUACUUGACCUAAACUUUCAAAAGCAAAAAAAAGAACUAACUCAUUCAAACCAUUUUCAGGCCUUGGUGCCUUUCAAACUUAAUUUUUGUUUAAAACAAUGCAUCCACUUUGAAAUUUGUAUCACGAACUACGAGGUUUUGAUCCCUCAUUUUUAUGUUGGUACGUAGGCACAAGUCCGAAGGUCUUGUCAAACACAAAAAAUAUAAUUAAUGAAUUCUUUUCUCAUCCCCCUACUCAAUUUGUUUGUAAACAUCAUUUUGUACCAAAUACAUAUGCACACAAAAAGGGCUCCCUAGGAGUACCUAGGAUACUUUGGGUGCUAACACCUUCCCUCUGUGUAACCAACCCCCUUACCUGAAAUCUCUGACAUUUUAUUGGUUUUGAUUUGAAAACUUCUUACUUUUGGGUUUUGUUCGUACUUUUUUCCCUUUUCCCUUGGAAACAAUAAAAGCGCGGUGGCGAUUCUGGUUUUAUUGAUCUCUAGCUUAUCCAUAGCUUGAUGAUCAUGAAUUUACCGCAAAAAAAAUUAAGUGGCGACUCCGUUGGGGAGUAGUCUCCAGUGGGUUUAGCCUACUUUUUGUGUGUAUAUAAUUGUAUAUAUGUGAUGUUUGUAUAUAUGUAUGUUUGAUAUAAUCUGCUUGUUGUGCUUGGUGAUCUCUGAGUGGUGAGAUAAGUUCUGACCCGAACUUGAGUGCAAUUAAGAUAGGAGGAUGGUAUAGUCAUGUUCGACUUGUGUGGAGUAGUCCUUAACAAGUUAGCUUGAGAUCCAUCUGCUCAGUGGAGACCCUUUUGGAUUUGGAAAUAUCACACAAGUAUUUGUGGUUAGGCAUUACUAUCUCUAAUUUGGGUCUGAGAAACUGAGGACCUUAGAACAUUUAACCCCUCUUGGCCUAUUUAGGACGUAGUGCAGAGACAGUUCAAGUGUAGACUUGAUAACAGUUGUUACGCGAUACUACACUCAGAUGAGUUUCUCUUGAGAAUAUUAUGGAUCGAUGAGUCAGUCAUCUUAACUUGUAAUAUCCGAUAGAUGGAAUUAAGACUCUGGGAACUUUUUAGAACAUGAUCUACAUGUUUUAUCCUUAGUUCACUCCUUUGGGAUGGUUCUUACCCAGACUCCAUGCUCGUGACUUACAACAAACCCUUGAUUCUUGGUUGAUCCAAUCAAGUCUUGUCAAUAUCAAUGGAACUUGGGUGUUGAUAAGGUGAAAACCAUAAUCCACCAAAAUGGAUGAUUGAUCUUGACAAUGACUUGAUUCAUCCCUUGACCUUUGUUUGCUUGCCUUGUGUGUGAUCCCUUAUUUAUGAUUGUUUCAUUCAUGCAUUCAUGCGCAUCAUAACAUUCAUCACACGAAAAUUUCAAGGAACUGAGGUAUUAUUUGCAAAUAUUUUCAGACCAUGGAUUAUGGACGAAGGAACACUAAGAAGUACAGUUUCAGAUGUCCCGACUUGAAAGAGUUACGGAAGCUAACAUCUUUUGUAUUAGAUCCCUUGGACUUCAAACAACGUCAUGGGAAGCUGCUGUCCAUCUUGUCUACUGAUGUGGUCGAAGGACUUUUGAGUUUGCUAGUGUAGUUCUAUGAUCCUCUCUACCGUUGUUUCACUUUCCCAGAUUUUCAGCUUAUGCCUACCUUGGAGGAGUAUUCUCAUCUUUUGGGGAUACCUGUUUCUAGUAGGGCACCUUUUAGUGGUUUGGAGGAGAUUCCCAGAUCUAAUCUUAUUACUGAAGCUCUUCACUUGAAGAAGUCUGAGAUAGAGGCUCAUUGGGUGAAGAAAGGAGGAUUGUUUGGGUUGCCAUCUGAUUUCCUCAUUGAGGAAGCUACUGCUUUUUCUCAAGCCGGUAGUAUGGACGCUUUUGAAGCUAUCUUUGUGUUGCUUAUUUAUGGAUUAGCUUUGUUCCCUAACAUUGACGGUUUUGUUGAUGUUAACGCCAUUAGACUUUUCUUGAUUGGGAAUCAUGUGCCUACUUUGUUGGGUGAUAUGUAUUUCUCUUUGCAUCUAAGGAAUUCUAAGGGUGGUGGAACGAUUGUCUGUUGUAUUCCUCUUUUGUACAAGUGGUUUAUUUCGCACUUGCCUCAGACGCUUGCUUUUAUGGAGAACAAACAAUGUCUAAGGUGGUCUCAGAGACUUAUGUCUCUCACUAAUGAUGAUAUAGUUUGGUAUGAUCCGUCUUUAAGCAGCUUAGAGAUUAUUGAUAGUUGUGGUGAAUUCUCUAAUGUACCUCUCAUUGGUACACAAGGAGGAAUUAACUACAACCCUGCUUUGGCUCGUCGUCAACUUGGGUUCCCCUUGAGAGACAAACCUAAUAACACUUUGUUAGAAGGUCUUUUUUAUCAAGAGGGUAAAGAUCCCCAAAAUUUGAAGCAGAAGAUUAUGCAUGCUUGGCAUAAUGUACAUAGGAAAGGAAGAUCCGAGCUUGGUCCAUGCAAUUGUGUAGCUUUGGAAGCUUACACUCUUUGGGUGAAGAAGAGAGCUUUGGAGUUGAAGAUGCCUUAUCCUUGUGAAAGACCUAUGUCUAUGGUUGUGUUUGAUCCAUUAACUCUCCCUAACCAAGAUGUAGAGGAGUUGGAAGACGCACUCGCCAAGAUGAAACAAGAAAAGGAUGUGUGGGAAGAGCAUUUCUAUGCCUUGAGAAAGAAGCAUGAGGAGUUGGAGUUGGAGUCUAAGGAAAAAUAUGCACUUAUUGAGUUACUUAAAGACCGAGUGACAAAGAGGCAGAGAGAGUCGGAGAUUUCAUCUUCCUCUAGCAUGCCUCAGCCUUCCGUUGCUUGGAAGAAGAAUCAGAUGAAGGCUUCUUUUGAGACCGAGAUUCGACGCAUCCGAAGGAAGUACGCGCCUGCAGCCAGAUCUUCUGACAUUGUUGUUAGGGAUCCUUAGGAUGACUAGACUCCUUUUCUUUUGGUUUCUGAAAUUGUACUCAGUGUAAUCCUUCCAAUUAUAUAAAUGAAAAGAGAUUUUUUAUGGUCAUAUCAAAUUGUUGCAAUUAUAUAUAUAUAUAUAUAUAUAACUCUUUGGGUGAAGAAGAGAGCUUUGGAGUUGAAGAUGCCUUAUCCUUGUGAAAGACCUAUGUCUAUGGUUGUGGUUGAGCCAUUAACUCUCCCUAACCAAGACGUAGAGGAGUUGGAAGACGCGCUAGCCAAGAUGAAGCAAGAGAAAGAUAUGUGGGAAGAGCGUUUUCGUGCUUUGAGCAAGAAGCAUGAAGAGUUGCAGUUGGAGUCUAAGGACAAAGAUGCACUUAUUGAGCUACUUGAAGAUCGAGUGACGAAGAGACAGAGAGAGCCGAAGGUUUCAUCUUCCUCUAGCAUGCCUCAGCCUUCCGUUGCUUGGAAGAAGAUUGUUGAUCAGCUUGUCCUCGAGAAGACUCAGAUGAAGGCUUCUUUUGAGACCGAGAUCCGUCGUAUUCGAAGGAAGUACGCACCUUCAGUUAGGUCUUCUGACAUUGUUGUUAAGGAUCCUUAGGAUGACUAGUCUCCUUUUCUCUUGUAUUUUUCAUUUGGUUUCUAAAAUUGUACUCAGUGUAAUCCUUCUAAUUAUAUAAAUGAAAAGAGAUUUUUGGUCAUAUAAAAAUUAUUGAAAUUGUUGAUAUAUAUAUAUUUGCAAAUGAUAUAGUAAGUUCCUUGAAAAAACAAAAAUAAAUAAACAAGCAUUGCAUUUCAUGCAUUAUGUGCGUAAGCAGGUUUCUCUUCCGCCAGAUGUCUCAUUGGUGUUUCUUCUAUGCUUCAGCCAAGCUGACUCAUCGGUACCAUACCCGUGCCAAUCAUCUCAAAAUCAUGGAGCAUCUAGAGCAAGAGAAUAGAGAGCGGAAGGACGAGAUCGCCCGCCUGACUGCCAUGAUGGAAUCAGUUCUUGCUGCCCAGAGUCAAUCUUCUCUAACACCUGCCACUCCUCCUCCUCAGAGGACUGUUAUUUCAGAGGUGGCUACCUCUACCAUGCCUGCUGCUACCGCUUAUUUUGCGCCCAUUAUACCUGCCGGAUUCCCGUGGGGAAUGCCAUCGAACUUUAUGCCUGAAGGCUUUGCGCCUACAUUUGCUUCCAUGCCGGCAUCUAGCACGGUCAUGUCUGUGCCACCUCCAUUGUGCACACCUUACCUCGUGUAGAGGACACCAUUUAUAACUCCGAGCCGUCUGAGGGUCCAGAUGUUUAUGAGAAAAUGGAUGAAAUGAAGGACCAGUUUCUUGAGGCUGCACAAGGAAUUGAAGACGCUAAGAGGUAAGGACUUGUUUGGAAAGAGUGCUGCUGAGUUGUGUUUAGUGCCCAACGUCAAGAUCCCGGUGAAGUUCAAAGUGCCUGACAUUGAAAAGUAUAAAGGGAACACAUGUCCACUCCGUCAUCUAGUGAUGUAUGCUCGCAAGAUGUCGACUCAGACUGACAAUGAUCAACUGUUGAUUCACUACUUCCAAGACAGUCUGACCGGUGCUGCGCUCUGAUGGUAUAUGGGGUUGGACAGUACAAGCGUUCGUACUUUCAAUGACUUGGGAGAGGCUUUUGUCAAGCAAUAUAAGUACAACAUGGACAUGGCUCCUGAUAGAGACCAGUUGAGGUCUAUGUCUCAGAAGGAUAAGGAGACAUUUAAAGCGUAUGUGCAGAGAUGAAGGGAAUUGACUGCCCAGAUCACUCCUCCUUUGGAGGAAAAAGAGAUGACAAAGAUCUUUCUGAAAACUAUGAGUUCAUUUAUCAUGAACGAAUGAUUUCUAGUGCCCCCAGUGACUUUACUGAAAUGGUAAACAUGGGGAUGAGGCUUGAGGAAGGAGUCCGAGAGGGACGUUUGUCGAAGAAGAAGCAUCAUCGAGUAAGAGAUAUAGCAGCAACUUUGGGAAGAAGAAGGACAAAGAAGCGAAUGCAAUAAGCAGUGGGAGGCAGAGGAGGCCUCAGAUCAGAAGGAAUCAACCAUCACAUCAACAUCACCAUCAAGUAUCUUCAGUCAUUCCAUUUUUUUUCUAAUAAUCAUUCAACACCAGUUCAACAACAACAACGUCAACAACAACAACAUCAACAACAACAACCGCAACAAUGAGCAAACACCUACAACAACAACAAUACCAACAACAAUCAUCAUCAAUAAAACUUUGAGAGGAAGAAGGUCUCUUUCGACCCAAUUCCUAUGUCUUAUGCAGAAUUGUAUCCAUCUUUGGUUCUCAAGAACCUAAUCCAACCAAGAAACCCGCCAAAAACUUUGAGAGGAAGAAGGUCUCUUUCGACCCAAUUCCUAUGUCUUAUGCAGAAUUGUAUCCAUCUUUGGUUCUCAAGAACCUAAUCCAACCAAGAAACCCGCCAUAAAUUCCAGAACCACUUCCAUGAUGGUACAAGCGUGAGCUCCGUUGUGAUUUUCAUCAAGGAGCACCCGGACAUGAUAUAGAGAACUGUUAUCCGCUCAAGUAUGAGGUUCAGAAGUUAAUGAAGAGUGGAAUGGUGUCCUUUGAGGACCGCACACCGAAUGUAAAAGUGAAUCCUUUACCCGCUCAUGGGAAUUCUUCUGUUAAUAUGGUGGAUGGUUGUCUUGGCGAAUUUAAGGUUUUUGAUAUUCGUUUUAUCCGAAGGUCCUUGGUGCAGAUGCAUAAGGAUAUUUGUUUGGUGAGUGAUUGUGAACAUGACCAUGACGGUUGUGUUAUCUGUAGUAUUAACCCGAGGGGUUGCGAAGUUGUGAAAAGGGACAUCCAGCGACUGAUGGAUGAAGGCAUGAUUCAAAUUGUUCAAUCUCGUCAUGUAGAUGAAGAUGUAAAUGUCAUAGUGCCCAUUUUCAACCAGAGAGAUUGGUAAUUCAGUACGACAUCAACAACAGUAACAAUAUCAGCAAUAGAUCAGUAUCCCCGUUGGUUAUACGGUUAACGGGCCCAAUCCCAUAUUCAUCUAAUAAAGUUGUGUCGUAUCAGUAUAAUGUUACAAUGAUAGAAGGUGGUCAAGAGGUCCCGCUACCUACGGCUAGCUCUGUGGUGAGCAUUGCUGAUGUUACCAAGGUGACCCGCAGUGGUCGCGUGUUUGGGUCGGUGUUCCCAAAGGAUAAAGAAGAAUCAGUUGUUGGAAAGAAGGUGGAAGUGCCUGUUGUAGAUCCAGUUGGUGCUUCAAAGGGUAAGUCUGGUGAAUCCAGCGAUUUGAAAGCUAACGAUGAUUAUGAGGUACUUCGAUUGAUCAAAAGAAGUGAGUUUAAUAUGGUGGAGCAGUUGCUCCAAACCCCCUCAAAAAUCUCAGUGUUGUCUCUGCUCAUGAAUUCUGAAGCGCACAAAGAAGUACUACAGAGAGUUCUUGAACAAGCAUUUGUGGAACAUGAUGUUACAGUGGAUCAAUUCGAUCAUAUCGUGGCUAACAUCACUUCCUGCAAUAAUCUUAGCUUCUGUGAUGAAGAACUCCCUGAGGAGGGUAGAAAUCAUAAUCUGGCUUUGCACAUUUCUAUGAAUUGCAAAGAGGACGCUUUGUCAAAUGUGCUUGUUGACACUGGGUCGUCACUGAACAUACUUCCAAAUUCAACUCUGUCAAAGCUAUCAGAUCAAGGAGCGCCUAUAAGGUAUAGUGGUGUAAUCCUUAAAGCUUUUGACGGUUCGCGCAAAACAGUAAUUGGUGAAGUGAACCUUCCAGUAAAGAUAGGUCCGAGUGAUUUUCAAAUUACUUUUCAAGUAAUGGAUAUCCACCUGGCCUAUAGCUACUUAUUGGGAAGGCCAUGGAUCCAUGAGGCAGGAGCUGUUACCUCCACAUUGCACUAGAAGCUCAAGUUUGUGAAGAAUGGAAAGCUUGUGAUCAUUGGCGGGGAGAAGGUGCUGUUGGUUAGCCACCUGUCAUCUUUCUCUUAUGUUGAAGCUGAGGAUGAGGUUGGAACUCCGUUCCAAGCCUUAUCUAUUGCUGCUGAAAAGAGAGUUAGGGCACCCAUGUCCUCAUUGAAAGAUGCCAAGAAGAUUAUGGAAGAAGGCGAUGUUGAUCAGUGGACGCGCAUGGUAGAGGUCUCUGACAACAAAGACAGAACCGGUUUAGGGUUCCAGAAAGGUUCAUCAAAUGCAAGGUCUGAAGAUAUGCAACUUAGCUUCCGUAGCGGAGGGUUCAUUCAUGGCAAUGAACAACACUUAGCUGCUGUGCUAGAGGAUGACGAAGAGGAAGACUGCACCAAUUUUGUGACGCAUGGAAAGGCUUGCAACAAUUGGACUGCUGUUGACACUUAGCUGCUGUGCUAGAGGAUGACGAAGAGGAAGACUGCACCAAUUUUGUGACGCAUGGAAAGGCUUGCAACAAUUGGACUGCUGUUGAUAUUCCUGUUAUUUUGCAUCAAUCUAAGUAAUUGCAUUUAUAUGUUUUCAAAAUCCUUCUCCUAUGCCUAAGGGAGAAGAGAACAUUGUUUGGGCAUUUUCAAAUUGAUCAUCAAUAAAACUAAUUCUAUUCAUCCACAUCUAUGAUAUUUUGUUUUACUUUUUGCGUUAUCCUAAAAAUGGUAAUCACAAAAGACUUAAAUAAACAAUAAUUGUCCAUCUGCAUAAUAUUUGGUCACAAAUCCACUUCUCUAAAAUCAAAGUAUCAAAUCAUUAUGCAGGUUGGUUCCUAACCCCAUUAAAUAUAAUGAUCCUUCUCCUUCUCCAAAUUUUGAAUUCCCUGUGUUCGAGGCCGAGGAGGAAAGUGAUGAGGAAGUGAGUGAUGAAUUAUCUCGUCUUCUUGAGCAAGAUGAAAAGAUCAUUCAGCCGUUUAAAGAGCAGAUUGAGCUAGUCAACUUAGGUUCCGAGGAUGAUGUGAAGGAAGUCAAGAUUGGGUCUCGCCUGUGUCCAAAUGUCAAGAAAGGGUUGAUUGAUCUUCUUCGAGAGUAUUCAGAUGUGUUUACUUGGUCCUAUCAAGACAUGUUUUCUUGGUCCUAUCAAGACAUGCCUGGUUUGGAUUCUGAGAUUGUGGAGCAUAGAUUGCCGUUGAAGCCAAAAUGCCCUCCAGUCAAGCAGAAAUUGAGAAGAACGCAUCCUGAUAUGGCUGUGAAGAUCAAAGAAGAAGUGCAAAAGCAGAUCGACGCCGGUUUCCUUGUGACCACUGAGUAUUCGCAAUGGGUGGCCAAUAUUGUGCAUGUGCUGAAGAAAGAUGGAAAAGUCCGCAUGUGUGUCGACUAUCGAGAUUUGAAUAAAGCCAGUCCGAAAGAUGAUUUCCCUCUGCCACACUUUGAUAUGUUGGUAGAAAAUCCUGCUAAAUUCAAAGUCUUUUCGUUUAUGGAUGGAUUUUCCAGAUAUAAUCAGAUCAAGAUGGCACUUGAAGAUAUGGAGAAGACCAUAUUCAUUACACCUUGGGGAACAUUCUGUUAUAGAGUGAUGCCUUUCGGUCUAAAGAAUACUGGUGCAACUUACCAAAGAGCAAUGACUACUAUUUUUCAUGAUAUGAUGCAUAAAGAGAUUGAAGUAUAUGUCAAUGACAUGAUUGCUAAAUCAAUUGAUGAAGAGGAACAUGUUGAGAAUUUGUUGAAGUUAUUCCAGCGUUUGAGGAAGUAUAAACUCCGUUUGAAUCCCAAUAAGUGUACUUUUGGUGUUCGUUCUGGUAAAUUAUUGGGCUUUAUUGUCAGCGAGAAGGGUAUUGAAGUUGAUCCUGCAAAGGUCAAAGCAAUACAAGAGAUGCUUGCGCCCAAAACUGAAAAGCAAGUCAGAGGUUUUCUCGGCCGCUUGAAUUAUAUUUCCAGAUUCAUUUCCCACAUGACUGCCACAUGUGCGCCUAUAUUCAAGCUUCUUCAGAAAGAUCAGUCUUGUGAUUGGACCGAAGACUAAGAGGUUUUCUCGGCCGCUUGAAUUAUAUUUCCAGAUUCAUUUCCCACAUGACUGCCACAUGUGCGCCUAUAUUCAAGCUUCUUCAGAAAGAUCAGUCUUGUGAUUGGACCGAAGACUGCCAGAAAGAUUUUGAUAGUAUUAAAGAGUACCCGCUUGAACCUCUGAUUUUGUCUCCGCCUAUUGAAGGAAAACCGUUGAUCAUGUAUUUGACUGUGCUUGAUGAGAGUCUGUGUUGUGUUCUUGGUCAGCAAGAUGAGACUGGAAAGAAAGAAUUUGCAGUUUACUACCUCAGUAAGAAGUUCACCGACUGUGAGACUCGGUAUUUUAUGCUUGAGAAAACUUGUUGUGCAUUGGCUUGGGCUGCUAAGCGUUUGCGUCAAUAUAUGUUGAAUUAUACCACUUGGUUGAUAUCCAAAAUGGAUCCGAUCAAGUAUAUAUUUGAAAAGCCUGCUUUAACUGGGAGGAUUGCCUGUUGGCAGAUGUUGUUAUCAAAGUAUGAUAUCGAAUACCGAUCUCAGAAAGCGAUCAAAGGUAGUAUCUUGGUUGACCAUUUGGCUCACCAGCCAAUUGAAGAUUACCAUUCAGGGCAGUACGUUUUUCCUGAUGAAGAGAUCUUGUACUUGAAAAUGAAAGAUUGUGAUGAACCAUUGCUUGAAGAAGGGCCAAAACAUGGUUCCCGUUGGGGAAUGGUAUUUGAUGGAGCUGUUAAUCAAUAUGGUAAUGGUAUUGGGGCAGUGAUCAUUACUCAUCAAGGCACACAUCUACCAUUUACAACUAGAUUGACUUUCAAGUGUACAAACAAUAUGGCAGAAUAUGAAGCUUGCAUUAUGGGGCUUGAAAAGGCCAUGAAUCUUAAAAUCAAGUAUUUAGAUGUUUUCGGAGACUCCGCUUUGGUUGUAAAUCAGAUCAAAGGUGAUUGGGAGACAAAUCAACCUGGUUUGGUACUGUAUAGAGAUUAUGCGAGGAGGAUUUCAAAUUUCUUUACAAAAGUUGAGUUUCAUCAUAUUCCUCGAGAUGAGAACCGGGUGGCAGAUGCUCUUGCAACAUUGACCUCAAUGAUUGUAGUGAAGUAUUGGAAUGAGGUUCCCAAUUUGUCUGUGAUGUGUCUUGAUAGGCCAGCUCAUGUGUUUGCUGUUGAAGAGGUCAAAGAAGAAAAGCCGUGGUAUUAUGACAUCAAGUGUUUCCUCCAAUGUCAGAUUUACCCGCCUGGGGCAUCUUUGAAAGAUAAGAAGACUUUGAGAAGAUUAGCCGGUAAUUUCUACUUGAAUGGUGAUAUACUGUACAAGAGAAACUUCGACAUGGUUUUGCUCAGAUGCGUAAAGCUUCGAAUGGACAUCGUUUCAUUUUAGUGGCAAUUGACUACUUCACAAAAUGGGUUGAAGCGGCAUCGUAUGCGAAUGUAACCAAGCAAGUUGUUGUAAGGUUUAUCAAGAAUCAGAUCAUAUGUCAUUAUGGUGUGCCAAGCAAGAUCAUUACUGACAAUGGAUCAAACUUGAAUAACAAUAUGGUGGAAGCUCUUUGCAAGGACUUCAAGAUUGCACACCAUAAUUAUUCUCCCUACAGACCCAAGAUGAAUGGGGUUGUCGAAGUUGCGAAUAAGUACAUCAAGAAGAUUAUUUAGAAGAUGGUUGUAACAUAUAAGGAUUGGCAUGAGAUGCUACCGUUUACUUUGCAUGGGUAUCGUAUAUUCGUCCGCACUUCAACAGGGGCAACCCCUUUUUCUCUUGUAUAUGGUAUGGAAGCAGUGCUCCCCAUAGAGGUUGAGAUUCCAUCAUUGCGUGUGCUCAUGGAAGCCAAGUUGACUGGGGCUGAAUGGUGUUAGACCAGGUUUGAUCAGUUGAAUUUAAUUGAAGAGAAGAGAUUGACUGCCAUGUGUCAUGGUCAGUUAUAUCAACAAAGGAUGAAGAAAGCCUUUGACAAGAAGGUCAGACCUCGCGUAUUCAGAGAAGGUGACCUUGUGCUCAAGAAGAUAUUGUCAUUCAAACCAGAUUCUAGGGGAAAAUAGACUCCUAAUUAUGAAGGCCCAUAUGUUGUCAAGAGAGCCUUUUCGGGCAAUGCAUUGAUUCUUAUAACUAUGGAUGGUGAAGAGUUCACUCGUCCUGUGAACGCAGAUGCAGUCAAGAAAUACUUCGCCUAAAAAGAGAAAAUAACAGUUCGCUAAGUUGAAAACCCAAAAGGGAGGAUUAGGCAAAAAAGAGCAUCUCGGUGGAUUGAAAACACGAAAGGGCGAUCCAGACAAAAAUUAGAGACCUAAAAACAGAAAGAAUUUCCCGAUAAGUUAAGUACCCCACCUUGGGGAAACUUAUGCAAAAAUUAGGGAUUAUGGCAAGUAACUGCAGUCUGCUGAUCGUCCAGUUUUGAAAAGACUUUGUUGAGCACUAGGGUUGACGUUGAUUCAUCAUCCCAGUAGCGGUCAAGAGCACAGUGGAUAUCAAGAGUUGGUAGAAGGAUUAAGGAUCAUUUGUAUUCAAUGUAACCCUUUUCCAUGUAAAUUACUAUUUUCAACUUUGUAAAAAUCUAUGGAGUCUUGACAUUUACAAACUACCAUCCCAUUAAAUAAAGUUGAGCUUUUGUCCAAUUGUUUCUACUCUUAUUUACUUCAGCCAAUAGUUUAAAUUUUAUUAUGAUCAUUUUGGAAAUUUAAUUUUUUUUAAUCAAACAUCCCAUUAAAUAAAGUUGAGCUUUUGUCCAAUUGUUUCUACUCUUAUUUACUUCAGCCAAUAGUUUAAAUUUUAUUAUGAUCAUUUUGGAAAUUUAAUUUUUUUUAAUCAAAAUCAUUUUUUUCUCUUAAAACAUAUAAAAACAAGAAUUUUUCAAAGCAAUUAAAAAGAAGUAUCAACAGCACUUCAAAGUGUAGCAAGUCCUUAAAAGGCGAAGCAUUAGAGGUUCCCUGAGCAGUUAACCCUUCGGGUAUCCCUAGUCGAUUUUGUUAAUCCGGUUCCCCUACGGAGUGUUUGUUCCCUAGCAGAGUUCCGAUUCUUCUCCCCAACUGAGUUGGUUGAUUCAGUACCUUGCGGCGUGUUAUUUCCCUGGCAGAGUUGCUGUAUCCCCCAAUGGAGUUUUUCCUCAGCAGGGUUGAUCUUCAGUAGAGUAAGAUGUUCUUCCCCAGUGUAUUGCGUUGGUUUUCUCACCAGUCGCCAUCCGACUUGCUCCCAGUCAAAGUUUCCUCCUAGUUUCUGAGCAGCUGUUUUGUGUUUAUCUUUUGUAUGGUUGUCUCCCAUUUGAUAUGGUGUUGACCUAAAAUUCCCUGUAGACUCGAUAACAUUUCCUCUCCUCAGCAGAUCUCCUCCUUCCUCGGCUAGAUUUGAGCCUUUGGGUUGUUGAUUUCUCUGUUCUCCAGCAGUUGUCUCCCUCUUUUUGCGGAUUGACCGAGGAUUGUACUGAUGAUUCAAAUUCUUUGCGACACCUUUGUAUCCUUUGUGAUCAUGUUGUCAGCAUAAUCAUCAUAUAUAUACAUACACAUAUACAUUCAUAUAAUUUCAUAAUUGCAUAUUUGCAUCAUCAUAUCCGGUUAACUUGUAGAUUUGAGAUUCUCAUUCUCUGUUAUGGCGGUACUUUAUCCCCAUACGAACCUCGGUGUUUGUCCUCCGUCAAUUGUAGAGUGUCAGCCCCUUAGGCAGAAAUACUUUAACCUUUCUCCUCUUUGUAGCGGUGUAUUCGUCGCUAUAUGAUCUAUUGAUUAAACCAUAAGCAAAGUAUACAAGUAAAUAGAGUCGCCACCGCACUUUUAUUUAUCCAAAGGACUGGCUAAAAACGAAACAAAAGCACCUAGAAGUUUUACACGUAAAAACCAAUGAAAAGAAUCAGAGAUCGAGGUAAGGGUAAAUUACGCAAUGGGAAGGUGUUAGCACCACCACGUCCUAGGUAUCCUAGGGAGCCUUUUCACACUUGUUGAAUGAAAAUGUUUAUUUGUUAUGACAUUUGUGAAACAUGAUUGGAUGAUGAGAAAAGAAUGUACAAUUUUUUUGUAUUUUUGUGUCGAACGGAUGAACCCGUUGCCUACGUACCUUCCAUCAAAGGUAAGGAUCAAAACGCCGUAGUUCGGCUAAAGAUUUCCAAAUAUCGUUGGAUUCAAUUUUUAAAACAAAACACUAAGGCUUUUCAUUCUCAACGGGAGAAACUCAACCAAUACCAACAAUCCACCAUGCAAAGAUAGCUCUUCAACAUAACCUAGGGAGGUAACCCUAUAAUAAGUAUGGAAGACUUACAAUCAACUUACUAAGGAUGCGGUGAGAUUCUACAUUUCAACCAACUAUGAGAAUUGAAACCUAUGGCUAAUGUAUGAAAACAUAUUAACAAUGGACAAAGCCACAAAACAAUUGAAUGGGUGAAGUUAAUUGAUUAUGAGUAUUCACAAAGUAUGAUUAAAGUAUGAUUAAGAUUGAUUCAAAAAGAAGUAUUAACAAAAUGAAGUUUGGAAAGUCAAGGACUUAAGGUCCAGGUUUCUAAUUUGAAAGAGGUGAGAAUGUUUGCACAACAUGUAUAUACAAGUUUGAAAAGUCAACAAGUGAGAAGGGAUUUGAAACAAAAGUGUAUGGAUGAUGGAGUGUAAAACUUCCUAGAGGUUCACCUCUUGAAAUCAUAUAGAAGAUGAUUCAAGUGUGUCCUUUAGAAUAAAGCAACAAAGCCAGUUAGCAAAAUAAAAGAUAAAGUGAUACUGGAUGCCACUCAAUGGACUUACACCAAUCUCACACAAAAGCGGAUACCAGAUACCAAUAAAUGGAUUUACACCAAUCUCCUAAAACAAAACAAUGAUAUCGGAUGCCAAUAAAUGGUCUUACUCCAAUCUCACUAACAAAAGCGGAUACCGGAUACCAAUAAAUGGAUUUACACCAAUCUCCUCAAAGAAAAACAAAAUAGGGAUGUCAGAUGCCAAUCUAUCUGGACUUAUUCCAACCUCCACAAGAUGAUCAUAGGAAUACAAAUGCCAACGACAUGGACUUAUAAUUGCAUCCUCACAUACAACAAACAAACAAUACACUGAGCAAAGAGGAUAUGAGUGACCAAUGAAUUGGUCUUACACUCUAUCCCUUCUAAAUCAUAGGAACAAAAGCCAAUCAACAUGGACUUACAAUUGUCCUCAAUGGGCAAACACACAUGUGUCACAAAGAUAUGCAAUGAUGAUCAUGCACUAAUGAACAAUCAAUGAUGACAAAUGCACAAAAGCAUGCAAGCAAACAUGUACAUAUGAAUCAAGCAAAUAAUCAAGCAAGGUCAUUUAUCACACACUAUAACCAAGCAAUCAGGCUCAAGCAAAGGGUUUGACUUUAAAGUCAACUGGAAUGGGGUAAACGGUGCUCUUAACCUUGACAUUGAGAGCCAAGGUGAAGCAGAUGAAAGGAUAUGAGGGGUGUGCCUCAUCACUCUUAUCCCUGGUCAGGGAGAGCAUUGAACAUCAGAAGAUGUGGGAGUUCAGAAAGGGGGAACUCUCUCCACAGGUUAGACUCGAUAGAUCUUGGGUUUUUUACUCACUAUGCAUCAGCACAAGUAGUGUGAGCAAGGUGAGUGACUCACAGAAUAGUAGGAGAUAGGUUACAUAUCUCUUUUGUCUACCAAUUGCCUUAUUAAUUCCUGAAGUGGACGAACCCCUGUUUUUAUUUGUGUGUUUCACAUUGCCUCUUAAGGAGGACUUCAGACAGGUGCCUGGCUAAAUAACAAGCCAGGUCUUCCAGACUACAUGAAGAAGAAGGUGCUACACCUCAAUGCAAAUGCUAUACAAGCAAAGCAAUGCAAGUUCUCAAAGAACUAUUAGCAACUAUGAUACCUGAAAUCAAUCAAAUAUAAUCAGUACCAAUCACAAAAUCAAAACAAACAAGGUAGUGAGCCAACAGAUAAUGUACAAACAAACAAUGCAAUGUGCAAAGCACAAUCAACUCAAGUGAACCAAACAUCCUACAAAAUAAACCAAGUUAGUCUAUAACAUCAAAUGAAACAACUCAAACAACUUGCAUUAAUCUCCUUAAAGCAUUUGCUUCUUCAACCUGAAAAUCACAUUCAAAUAUGAGAAACAAGACCACUAGGACAAGCCUAGGGUCAAAAGGAGGUGAAAAAUUCAAAACAGCAAGUGAAAAUUGAUCACAACCAAGAUUAAUCAAUUAAGAAGAAGGACCAAUCGGUCCCAUAUUAAAACUAUACACCAAGUCCAUUUUAUACACAUAACAUGUCAAACUAUGCAUUUUGGAACCACAUUGGAGCUAACAGAAUGAUCACACUCAAACCAAUAUCAAAACAGCUCAAUAAAUUCCACAAAAAUUCAAGCUUAAACAGGACAUAUUCAAUGAGCAUCAUAUCAAAUUUCAUGGCAUUUGGAUAAUGGGAACCAAGUCAAUGAAAAUCAACAAAUCAAGGCAUAUAGAAACAAGCUCAUGCAUGGUAUCAAAUUGAGCCUCAACUUCAAUCAAGUGUAAAACAGAAAUGACAUAAGAUAAAUGAGUCACUCCAAAGCCAUGAUACACUUCAACAUGUUAGGAAGCAAUGUAUAAAAUUUCAAGCUCAUGUGAUAAGGCACAAGGAUUUCACAACACAUGGAAGUUGAUCACUCAAGAAAAAGCCAAAAAUGACCAAACAGCAAAAUAAAAUCCCAAUCAAAUAGGAAAUUGAUCAACAAAUCCUACAAACAAUCAUGCUCAACCUAGACAUACAGAUGUAAUCACAUGCAAAAAUCCAGAGCAAAUGGCAUUCAAUAAGCAUGGAAACAAAAUUCAAGAAAUGGACAUAACCUAGUGUGACACACAUUGUCACACUCAAAAAGAUCACCUCAUAUCUCCUAAUCCAGAAGUGCAAAAUUAGCAAACUAUAUACCAAAAUCACCAGGAAAGAGCCUAGAUCAUGCCUAUAAAAUUUCAUGCAUUUUGGAUAAGGCAUCAUUAUUUUAUGAAUGAAAUGGAAAAACAUACACACAUAGCAUACAUGAUCAAAGGCCUUAGACAAAUUAAAAAAUCAGCCAAGCACAACUUUUGCUAUCAUACCUAAAAAAAACUAGAGAGAAUUUGGAGAUGAAUGCAAAAAUCCUCACUCAAUUUGGAUCAAAAAUGGAUUAAUUAUGAAUUUUUGAAGAUUGGUGAAAAAAUGAAAUAAAGAUUUAAUGAUUUAAAUGAAUUAAAAUGGCGCCAGUGGCAUUUUUGUAAAUCAGCGAAGCCAAGGGCAAAACGCCCCGUUUCAUUAACGGAUGUGGCGUCGUGUGAGUGGCCAGUGCACGCGGGAAACACAAUAUUUGAAACAAAGCCAGGCCAAAUGGAUCAAACAUGCGUUUUGGAAGGAAAAAUAGAGUGUUCAUCAUGUUCUUGAGCAGAAAUCAUCACAAUGACCAAAUCUUCAUGGAAAUGCACAAAUUAUAUAUGGUUGGAUUCGUCUUUCAACAAGGAUUACAAAUAUCAUCACGAUUUUAUCUAGAAUUUAGUAUACAAAAAGAUUCGAUCAAGAAAUGUUUUGACAUCCAAACUUUAGAUCCAGAUUUCUCCAUGAUUACUCAACGAAUUUGCACGAUUCAAGUUUCAUUCUACUCUAUGUUGAAGGAUCUACCUAAGCCACAUGUUGAUUUCAUGAAUUAGUAUUUGAAUUUUUACCUCUUGAUGAAGCAGCUGUUGAAUCCGUGCAUUUCAGGACCUUAUGAUGCAAAACAGGUAGCCUAUAGUGAUUAUGAAGAUGAAAGGAAGGUGCAACUCAGCUCAGAAAUGAUUGGAUGAUGAGGAAUUCUCAAACUGCCAUUGAUGAGCAAUGUUGCAACAGUGCCAAUUCUGCAUGAUUUCUUCCACCAAUUGCCACAAACAGUUCUUCUCUUGUACCUGCAAAUGAAGAUCAAAGCAACAGAUAGCACAAAAGAUGAAGGAUUCUUGAUGAAUGAGUGAAAAAAGUGUGAAGAAAAAUUGAGAGAAAUGAGAGAAUUUCUGAAUUUUGUGAUUUGAUCUGAAAAUGUGAUUGUUGAUUCUGAACUUUCUGUUAUGAUUAGGCUUAAAUACCACCUCUUAAUCCAAAGCCUUAAUCAUGUUUAGCAUAAUUGGAAGGAUUAAUGGAAUAAGCAUGUUAAUGCAUUUUGGCCAAAUUGCCCUUUCUCACUUAAGACCAAUGGAACAGUGAUUUUUUCUUUUGCAGCACAUCACAAAUCACAUUUGGAAAUGGGUUGAAUUGGUUUGGUGUGAAAAUCCCUUGUACUUUUGAAUUUGACUUUUUUCCCACCAAUUUUUAAAUGGUUCACUUGAAAAAUGACCUUUUUAUGUGAAGGUUUUUGAUGAAAGGUGAUGAUGGAUUUGGAUAGUACACAUCAAAUGUGGUUUGCUCAAAAAAGAAUCAACCAAAUUGGCCUUUCCAUUCAAAAGUUAUGGCACUUUGAAUUUCAACUUUUUCUGAAAAUGAUAUUGAUCAUACUUGCCAACCACACAUGGAAUGAGUGUUCUUACUUUUUGGAAAGGUGAGAGCAAGAUAUUCAACUUUCAUGUUGCGGCAAAAAUGUCAUUUGAAGCAUUCUUGUGGACAGUGUAAUUUUGAAGAGAAGAACUUUCCAUUUUUGGCAGGGUGAACAAUUACAAGUCAAUUUCUAUUUAUUGGAACUUUUUGCUUUGACUCAAAUCCUUCAACCGUUGAUCUUUGAAAUGUCAAAUGAGGCUUAUAUGGACAUGAAUGAGACCUUUUCCACCAUCUCACACCGUUCCAAUUCUGAUUAAAUGCACAGUGACCACAGUUGACUUUGCUAGGGUUUUGGUUGACUGAGCCAUGUUCUGAUGAAUUCCAAGCCUCUACCACAUGAGAUCUUGAUCCAAAAUGAUAUCACAACUUAUAUGAAUCCUUGAUGAAUGAUAAUGGUGCCCAAAUUCUUCAAGAAUGGUCACCAUCCAUUGCUCAAUGGCUUAUUUUAACUGGUUUGACCUAGUUGGUUUCAUCUGCAAGUAACAAGGUUAGAUGACAAUGUUUUUAUACUUUUGGUUAGUAAACAAAUGAAAAGCAAUGAUAUACAAAUGCAAUACAUGCUAGGUGAUCAAGAACCACACUCACAAGAUAGCCUACCCACUAGGAGGCAAGCAAAAGUGCACAAUGAUCCUUGAGGCAAUGAUAGGGUAUGAUAUGAUGCCAUGAGGGAUCUUAGGGACAAAAUUGGGGUCUUACACUCUUCCCCACUGAGUUGUUUCCUCGUGGAUGAUUAUUACUUCAGUUUCCUCCCCAGUUGUUUAUCUGGAUGGAAUCACUCCCCUUGAGUUAUAUCCUCAUUGGGUUGAGUCUUGAUUGACUGUUUCUUUCUAGAUCAUGCCUAGAUAGAUGCUUUGAGUCUCCUAAGAGCUUAUUCCUCCCCAGUUGUUUAUCUGGAUGGAAUCACUCCCCUUGAGUUAUAUCCUCAUUGGGUUGAGUCUUGAUUGACUGUUUCUUUCUAGAUCAUGCCUAGAUAGAUGCUUUGAGUCUCCUAAGAGCUUCUUACCCAGUAACUGGUAAUAUUCUUCUUAGUUGGCAGUUUGUUACUUCUUGCCCAAUACCCGGCAUAAGUACCCCUGUUUUCCCAGCAGUGGAGUUCUCAGUGGAUUCACUUGUUUCUGAUUCCCCAGGAAGUAUAUCCUUGAUAUGUUCAUCCUAACCGGUGACAAAUAUCUUUCUUUCCCCUUCCUGAGUCUAUCCUUGAUAUGUUCAUCCUAAACGAUGAGAGAUAUUCUCAUCCUUGGUAUUCUACCCAGUAAAAAGGUAGUUGUAAUCCCUAUUGUGUUCCCCAGAGAGUUAAUCCUUGAUAUGUUCAUCCUAACCGAUGACGGGUUUCCUUCUCUUUGUGGUAUUCUACCCAAUAACCGGUAGUUGUAAACCCUACUUUUUCCCGCAGAGUUUAUCCUUGAUAUGUUCACUUUAACCAGUGACAGAUACUCUUUUGUGGUAUUCUAUCCAGUAACUGAUAGAUGUAAUUCCUAUUUUCUCCCCUCAGAGAGUCUAUCCUUGAUAUGUUCAUCCUAACCGGUGACAGAUUUUCUCUUUGAUGGUCUUCUAUCCAGCAUUCAAUAGAUGUAAUUCCUACUUUUUAUUCAGUUGGUUUAUCCUUGAUAUGUUCAUCUUAACCGAUGACGGAUAUCCUCCUUGACAGUCCUAGGCAAGUUCAUCCUUGAUAUGUUCAUCUUAACCGAUGACGGAUCUUCUUCCCUGUUGAGUCUAUCCUUGAUAUGUUCAUCCUAACCGAUGACAGAUAUUCUCACCUUUGGUCUUCUGCCCAGUAACCGGUAGUUGUAAAUCCUAUUUUCUGCAGUUUUCCCCAGCAAGGCUAUUCUUACCCAGUAAACCGAUGACAGAUAUUCUCACCUUUGGUCUUCUGCCCAGUAACCGGUAGUUGUAAAUCCUAUUUUCUGCAGUUUUCCCCAGCAAGGCUAUUCUUACCCAGUAACCGGUAAUGAAUACUCCCUCCUGGCAAUUCUCAGCGAGUCAUCCUUGAUAUGUUCAUCCUAAUCGAUGACAUAUGUACUCUCUAUCAGAUCUUUAAUAUCUCCUCACCCAGCAACAGGUAGUAGAUAAUAGAUUUCUGCUCCUCCCGUGUUGAAGUUUAUUUCUUCCCCAGUCGAGUUGAGUGUGCAUUUCCUUAGUGAAAUCGCUUUUCCUGCAUGAUUCAAGUACUUCAAUUUUAUCCUAACUUACUCGUAUCCCCUACAGAUGUUGUUGUUCCCCGGCUGAGUCUUUUCCAUGUUUGUAUGGAAUUCCUCGAGUCCCCUAGCAGUGCUAAGUCGUAGCCUGGCCUACGCAUAACCCCUUUUACCCCAGAGUCUCUGUCUCCCUAGUGAGUUUUCCUUACAGAAUGCAUUAUACUCCUGUGGACUUUCGGUCUCUCUGAUUUCUUUUCCUUUGCGGCAAUAUUUCUCCACAAAGAAUUUACUUUUGCAUUCAUAUCAUAUGCAUCAUGAGGUCUCUUAGGGACCAAAAUUUGUUUCUAUGUUGUUAUUUAAGACCAUUCUACUGAGUCGAGCCGAAGAUUUUAACCUUCACCUCCUCAGUUAGAAUGUCCUUAAAUAGGGGCAGCUGUAAGAACCCAAUUUUAACCCUAAGAUCCCUCAUGCAAUUUCAUCAUAUGCAUUAGCAUUGGGAUCAUAACUUGGCAUCCUCCUUACCCCUCUUUCAUUAGGUUUAUUUUGGGAGAGAUCACCAAGCACUAUGUGAGUGUAUCAUACUUGUAUAUCAUCAUUUUACUAAUCAAAAUACCAAAAAUAUGUCUUUGCAUUUGCCUAACUCUUUUGUAGGUGGGGCAUGAUCUCCAUUGAUCUAUCAAGUUCAUAUCUAGGGUUUGAAAACUCUUUUGUAGGUGGGGCAUGAUCUCCAUUGAUCUAUCAAGUUCAUAUCUAGGGUUUGAGACCCUCAUGACAAAGAGCACAACCAUGAAUUGAUCCAAGAAUGGUUAUAAGCAUCAUAUAUGAGUCCCCAUGAUUUCUACAUGUCAUAUUGAUCAAGUUUUCUUCAAAAGUUUGAGGGUGAUUUGCCUUGGAAACCCUAGUUUGACUGGGUAUCUUAAGUGACUUCUUCAACAAGCUAUCUCACCAAUUGAUCAAAUUUAUCAAGGGGCACUUCAAAAUUAAUCAUCUUAUGCAUAUAUGAUAUACCAUGAGCCUAAAAAAUCAAGAGAAUUGAAGGUUAGCAAGUUGGUUGAUGGUGGUUGGCCAGAUGAAUUCAUCUGAUCAAAACUGGGUCUCCCUAGACCCUAUCUUCUACAAUUUUCACCAUAUGAAAAUGAUUCCAAGAGAAAAGUUACUCUUAAUGACAUUAUAAACAACUUUCAUGUUGAGACCUAGAGCUAAUUUUUCUUGGAAAAUCAUUUUCUAUGUUGAAACAUUAUAGGUCAUUUUGUCUAAACCCUAAUUUAAAAGUCAACUUCCCAAGGCCAUAACUUGCUAGAUUUUUAUGAGAUGAAAGGUUUACAAGUUGCACAAUCAAAUUCAAGAUGUCUAAUUCAACUUUUAUGUUUGGAAUGAGAGAAAACUCAACUUUUAUGAGCAUGUGAUAUGAGGAUACAUUAUAGGUCAUUUUUUACCUAUACCAUUGAACAAGUGAUUUUUCCAAACUUCAAAAAUGCAUGACUCUAUCAUUAUAAAUCUAAAUGACAUGAAAUUUAUUACCAUUUUUAAGGUCUCUGAAAUAUCUACAACUUUGAUGAAGACACUUUUCUCAUUUGAAGCUCACAUAAAAAGUUAAGCAAGAUGGAAUAUUGAGGUAUAUGGCUUGACACUUAGAACAAUUUUCAACAUGUUGAAAUUUCCAAACUUCCACCUCAAAAUUCUCCAUGUUCCAAGCUCCAAAUAAAAAAGUGUUCAACAUCAAACUUGUUCCCCUUGAUCCAGGAUUUCCAAAGAACCCAAGUUCAUGCAUUUUGGAUGAAGAUUGCUAGGUCUGCGCAUGGCUUUAACAGGGAUGCAUCAUUGGAAAGAAUCAAAUGUACAAACUUCAGUUCACAAUGCCUUGCCAUUCAAGCUUCAUUCAGACUUCAAUUGGAAUCAAUUUUGACCUUAAUGCAUUGCAUCAUGGGCCUGUACAUGCUCAUGCACUCGUGCCAUCCACAUUGCCAAUUUUGGACAGAUUUUGAAGUGUGCAAAUAUCAUUGCCUUUGGCUAUAAAUAGAAGGCUUCUGAGCUCAUUUGAACAACACUUUGCGCGCCAGCUUUGCCCCCCAUUGAAACCCUCUCAUUCUAAAGGAAAACCUGAGAAAUUUCAAUUUGAAAUUUGAGUUGAGCUCAACUGUUGGAGAUUCAGAACUCCAAGGAUCCAAAGCCUGUGUAACCUCUCUAUUCCUCUGCUAGCUUCUCAAGUGUGAUCGUUCGUGUUUGGACAAGCAACAUCAGAACGCACAACAUUGAGGUAAUUUUCAAAAACUUCAUCUCUCGAUUCUCCAACCAAUUCUAUCAAUCUCUUGGAUGUUGGUUGUCUGAAUGCCUACCAAUGUAGGCAAGAAGAUUGAGUUACUUAGAGGUCAAAUCGAAGCAACUCAGUUGACACACCUCAAAAUUUAACUCCUCAUAUCUUUCUAUAUAUGUGGAGUUAGUUAAAAUUGAGGUCAGAUUCGUGCUCUAUGCCAUUUUUUCUUUCAGAUCAUGUCCUCCUUUUUUAUUUUGGUGAUGGUUGAAGGUGGACCAGUCCGGUGAGGUCCACCGGAGAAGAAGACCGUUGCUACAACUCCAGCGAUGUGUUGGCAUCUCUCCAGACCACAGGAUCCUUUUCAAAUGUUUUAAUCUCAUGCCUUGGUUUUGCAUACCAUCCCUGCAGCGCAUUGACUAGUGUUCAUUGUGGAACGCGCGCUGAGGACCACUUGAUUUGCCACCUCAAUUAAUGAGGGAGAUCAAGUGGUCCACGUUUUUUGCUAUUUUUUUAUUUUCAUUUUAAUCCUUUUAUUUUCAUUAAUUCAUAUUAAUUUUAAUAUUGAUCCAAAAAAUAUGAGAGUUAAUCAAGUGGUCCACGUUUUUUGCUAUUUUUUUAUUUUCAUUUUAAUCCUUUUAUUUUCAUUAAUUCAUAUUAAUUUUAAUAUUGAUCCAAAAAAUAUGAGAGUUUCACCAAAAAAUUUCAAAUAAUU